ACGAACGCUGGCGGCGUGCUUAACACAUGCAAGUCGAACGGUGAAGCGCCUUCCUUUUUGGUGGGUGUGGAUGAGUGGCGAACGGGUGAGUAACACGUGAGUAACCUGCCCCCUUCUUCUGGAUAACCGCAUGAAAGUGUGGCUAAUACGGGAUAUUCUGGGUCUGUCGCAUGAUGGGUCUGGGAAAGAUAUUGUUUCGGUGGGGGAUGGGCUCGCGGCCUAUCAGCUUGUUGGUGUGGUGAUGGCCUACCAAGGCGGUGACGGGUAGCCGGCCUGAGAGGGUGGACGGUCACACUGGGACUGAGACACGGCCCAGACUCCUACGGGAGGCAGCAGUGGGGAAUAUUGCACAAUGGGCGCAAGCCUGAUGCAGCGACGCCGCGUGAGGGAUGGAGGCCUUCGGGUUGUGAACCUCUUUCGCCAGUGAAGCAGGCCUGCCUCGUUUGUGGGUGGGUUGACGGUAGCUGGAUAAGAAGCGCCGGCUAACUACGUG
RNAcentral lists this ribosomal RNA (493 nucleotides) under uncultured bacterium. RNAcentral describes it as "partial 16S ribosomal RNA". It matches the Rfam family "Bacterial small subunit ribosomal RNA", at positions 29 to 507 of the family's 1533-position model. The record is from RNAcentral.